RNAcentral lists this ribosomal RNA (491 nucleotides) under uncultured bacterium. RNAcentral's name for it is "partial 16S ribosomal RNA". It matches the Rfam family "Bacterial small subunit ribosomal RNA", at positions 29 to 507 of the family's 1533-position model. The record is from RNAcentral.
AGUGAACGCUGGCGGUAGGCCUAACACAUGCAAGUCGAACGGCAGCACAGUAAGAGCUUGCUCUUACGGGUGGCGAGUGGCGGACGGGUGAGGAAUACAUCGGAAUCUACUUUUUCGUGGGGGAUAACGUAGGAAACUUACGCUAAUACCGCAUACGACCUACGGGUGAAAGUAGGGGAUCUUCGGACCUUGCGCGAUUGCAUGAGCCGAUGUCGGAUUAGCUAGUUGGCGGGGUAAAGGCCCACCAAGGCGACGAUCCGUAGCUGGUCUGAGAGGAUGAUCAGCCACACUGGAACUGAGACACGGUCCAGACUCCUACGGGAGGCAGCAGUGGGGAAUAUUGGACAAUGGGCGCAAGCCUGAUCCAGCCAUACCGCGUGGGUGAAGAAGGCCUUCGGGUUGUAAAGCCCUUUUGUUGGGAAAGAAAAGCAGCAGGUUAAUACCCCGCUGUUCUGACGGUACCCAAAGAAUAAGCACCGGCUAACUUCGUG